RNAcentral lists this ribosomal RNA (1454 nucleotides) under uncultured Bordetella sp. RNAcentral describes it as "partial 16S-23S ribosomal RNA intergenic spacer". It matches the Rfam family "Bacterial small subunit ribosomal RNA". The record is from RNAcentral. Lineage: Bacteria; Pseudomonadati; Pseudomonadota; Betaproteobacteria; Burkholderiales; Alcaligenaceae.
ACGCUGGCGGGAUGCUUUACACAUGCAAGUCGAACGGCAGCACGGACUUCGGUCUGGUGGCGAGUGGCAAACGUUGAUAAUGUAUCGGAACGUGCCUAGUAGCGCGGGGAUAACUUCGCGAAAGCGUAGCUAAUACCGCAUACGCCCUUCGGGAAAGCCAGGGGACCUUCGGGCCUCACUAUUAGAGCGGCCGAUAUCGGAUUAGCUAGUUGGUGGGGUAACGGCUCACCAGAGCGACGAUCCGUAGCUGGUUUGAGAGAACGACCAGCCACACUGGGACUGAGACACGGCCAGACUCCUACGGGAGGCAGCAGUGGGGAAUUUUUGGACAAUGGGGGAAACCCUGGUCCAGCCAUCCACAAUGUCUGAUGAAGGCCUUCGGGUUGUAAAGCACUUUUGGCAGGAAAGAAACGGCACGGGAUGUCCCCGUGCAACUGACGGUACCUGCAGAAUAAGCACCGGCUAACUACGUGCCAGCAGCCGCGGUAAUACGUAAGUGCAAGCGUUAAUCAAGAUUACUGGGCGUAAAGCAUUGCGCAGGCGGUUCGGAAAGAAAGAUGUGAAAUCCCAGAGCUUAACUUUGGAACUGCAUUUUUAACUACCGAGCUGAGUGCUGUCAGAGGAGGUGGAAUUCCCGCAUUAACAGCAGUGAAAUGCGUAGAUAUGCGGAGGAACACCGAUGGCGAAGGCAGCCUCCUGGGAUAACACUGACGCUCAUGCACGAAAGCGUGGGAGCAAACGGGAUUAGAUACCCUGGUAGUCCACGCCCUAAACGAUGUCAACUAGCUGUUGGGGCCUUCGGGCCUUGGUAGCGCAAUAACGCGUGAAGUUGACCGCCUGGGAGAGUACGGUCGCAAGAUUAAAACUCAAAGGAAUUGGCGGGGACCCGCACAAGCGGUGGAUGAUGUGGAUUAAUUCAAUUACAACGCGAAAAAGAAAAACCUUACUACAACAAACAUGUCUGGAAUCCCGAAAGAGAUUUGGAGUACAAGAGAACGGAACGGGUACUGCAUAGCUGUCGUCAGCUCGUGUCGUGAGAUGUUAGGUUAAGUCCCGCAACGAGCGCAACCCUUGUCAUUAAUUUGCUUUCGGUACUCUAAUGGGAACUGCGGUAGCAAACCCGGAGGAAGGUGGGGAUGACGUCAAGUCCUCAUGGCCCUUAUGGGUGGGGGCUUCACACACGUCAUACAAUGGUCGGGACAGAGGGUCGCCAACCCGCGAGGGCAAUCCCAGAAACCCGAUCGUAGUCCGGAUCGCAGUCUGCAACUCGACUGCGUGAAGUCGGAAUCGCUAGUAAUCAUGGCGGAUCAGCAUGUCGCGGUGAAUACGUUCCCGGGUCUUGUACACACACCCGUCCCUGCACCAUGGGAGUGGGUUUUACCAGUAGUUAGCUAACCGUAAGGAGGGCGAUUACCACGGUAGGAUUCAUGACUGAGGUGAAGUCGUAACAAGGU